AGAGUUUGAUCAUGGCUCAGGACGAACGCUGGCGGCGUGCUUAACACAUGCAAGUCGAGCGGAAAGGCCACUUCGGUGGUACUCGAGCGGCGAACGGGUGAGUAACACGUGAGUAAUCUGCCCUUGGCUUUGGGAUAGCCACCGGAAACGGUGAUUAAUACCGGAUACGACCACUUCUCGCAUGGGAUGGUGGUGGAAAGUUUUUCGGCCAGGGAUGUGCUCGCGGCCUAUCAGCUUGAUGGUGAGGUAAUGGCUCACCAUGGCUUCGACGGGUAGCCGGCCUGAGAGGGUGACCGGUCACACUGGGACUGAGACACGGCCCAGACUCCUACGGGAGGCAGCAGUGGGGAAUAUUGGACAAUGGGCGGAAGCCUGAUCCAGCAACGUCGCGUGAGGGAUGACGGCCUUCGGGUUGUAAAGCUCUUUCGUCUGGGAAGAAAAGGCGUCGGAUAACACCUGGCGUUCUUGACGGUACCGGAAGAAUAAGCACCGGCUAACUACGUGCCAGCAGCCGCGGUAAUACGUAGGGUGCGAGCGUUAAUCGGAAUUACUGGGCGUAAAGCGUGCGCAGGCGGUUCGUGAAGUCCGAUGUGAAAGCCCUGGGCUCAACCUAGGAACUGCAUUGGAAACUGGCGGGCUAGAGUGUGGCAGAGGGGGGUGGAAUUCCUGGGUGUAGCAGUGAAAUGCGUAGAGAUCAGGAGGAACACCCGAUGGCGAAGGCAGCCCCCUGGGCUAACACUGACGCUCAGGCACGAAAGCGUGGGGGAGCAAACAAGGAUUAGAAUAACCCUGGUAGUCCCA
RNAcentral lists this ribosomal RNA (801 nucleotides) under uncultured bacterium. Its description in RNAcentral is "bacterial SSU rRNA". It matches the Rfam family "Bacterial small subunit ribosomal RNA", at positions 8 to 798 of the family's 1533-position model. The record is from RNAcentral.